Eupeodes corollae is the source of this 319-nucleotide long non-coding RNA. RefSeq lists it as uncharacterized. NCBI's taxonomy places the organism in Eukaryota, Metazoa, Arthropoda, Insecta, Diptera, Syrphidae. The record is from RefSeq and is a predicted model, not a curated record. The transcript has 2 exons.
AAUUCCGCUUUAGACGUGGAAGAAUGUAUGAAUAGAGUUUCGUGUAUUUUGCAAAAUUCUCCAAUUUGUGGAGUUAAUAUCAGCGGCCAAAAAAUGUUUUCAAGUCCGUGUGCUAUGGAAGCUGAAAAUUCUUGUCUUCCACAAAAUGAACAAUACAAGAGGUGUAAUAAUUAAAUUGAAUACAAAAUGAGACUUCUUUGACUUUUGAGAAUCUGUUUUUCAUUACAUUUAAAAUUAUUUUUGUUUGGUAUUUUUAAAGUCUAAAAGUAAUAAAAUAAAGGGAAGUUAUUUUGUUUUUUAUGUCAUUUAAGCAUCAGUC